Lontra canadensis (Northern American river otter) is the source of this 104-nucleotide small nuclear RNA. Lineage: Eukaryota; Metazoa; Chordata; Mammalia; Carnivora; Mustelidae. The record is from RefSeq and is a predicted model, not a curated record.
GUGCUUGCUUCAGCAGCACACAUUCUAAAAUUGGAACAAUACAAAGAAGAUUAGCAUGGCCCUGGUGCAAAUAGGUGAUAGGUUAAUAGGAGGGCACUUGUGAU